This is a long non-coding RNA of Folsomia candida, 728 nucleotides long. RefSeq lists it as uncharacterized. Lineage: Eukaryota; Metazoa; Arthropoda; Collembola; Entomobryomorpha; Isotomidae. The record is from RefSeq and is a predicted model, not a curated record. The transcript is spliced from 2 exons.
CGGGAACAGGGGCCCCCUCAAUCUUCUCGCGGGGCAGAGGUCAAUGACCUUCCCUUCUCCGAGGGAACUGGGACCCCACCGCGGUCGAGAAUCAUGUCCCUUUGUAAAAGUCCACACUUACUGCACGACUACACUCGUGAGACGUCUUCCUCCCCCGGCGGCGGAAGGCAGCAAGAAGCGCGAGGAAAGUGAAAUACCUGGAGGGAGGGGGGAAGGAAGAAGAUGACGACGGGGGACGGUUUUCCGGGGGGAUGAAGAAGCCGGAGGGAGGACGAAGACGACAACGACAACGCCGGUUGGAUGGGGCCUCCCUCCUCGCUGGCUGGAAGACUGACGAACUGACUCCUCUCCGUGCGGAGACGUGUCAGUUACUGCUGCGACGACUAAAAGUUUAGUACAUCCAUCAUCACCAUCAUUACGAAGGUUACGAAAGGAGGAGGAGGUGUACGAAAAAACUUUACAUUUUGAGAAAAAUUCUUCAGCCUCAGCCUCGCUCCUCGUGUUGAGGCGAAGAAUCUCAUCUCGUCCGAUCAAAUGAAUGACAUUCUUGACAUUCUUGUCAAUAUUAUCUUGUGCAUAAUUUAAUAUGACAAUUUACAUGUCUCAACAUUUUGCUACUUAUCCACCACGUGUAGUGUAUGUAUAAAUAAUUAGCAUAUUAUUAGCAAUGUAGGAGAGAAAGUUUGCCCGUUAAAUAAAAGGAAGAAUGAAUUGCAUAAUAAUAAUAA